GACGAACGCUGGCGGCGUGCUUAACACAUGCAAGUCGAACGGAAAGGCCCCUUUGGGGGUACUCGAGUGGCGAACGGGUGAGUAACACGUGAGUAACCUGCCCUUGACUUCGGGAUAACUUCAGGAAACUGGGGCUAAUACCGGAUAGGAAUCCUUGCUGCAUGGUGGGGGUUGGAAAGCUUCGGCGGUUUUGGAUGGACUCGCGGCUUAUCAGCUUGUUGGUGGGGUAGUGGCUUACCAAGGCUUUGACGGGUAGCCGGCCUGAGAGGGCGACCGGCCACAUUGGGACUGAGAUACGGCCCAGACUCCUACGGGAGGCGGCAGUGGGGAAUAUUGCACAAUGGGCGGAAGCCUGAUGCAGCAACGCCGCGUGCGGGAUGACGGCCUUCGGGUUGUAAACCGCUUUCAGCAGGGGCGAAGCUUGUGGUGACGGUACCUGCAGAAGAAGCACCGGCUAACUACGUG
RNAcentral lists this ribosomal RNA (465 nucleotides) under uncultured bacterium. RNAcentral's name for it is "partial 16S ribosomal RNA". It matches the Rfam family "Bacterial small subunit ribosomal RNA", at positions 28 to 507 of the family's 1533-position model. The record is from RNAcentral.